This 253-nucleotide ribosomal RNA is filed under the name uncultured bacterium. Its description in RNAcentral is "partial 16S ribosomal RNA". It matches the Rfam family "Bacterial small subunit ribosomal RNA", at positions 524 to 776 of the family's 1533-position model. The record is from RNAcentral.
UACAUAGGGUGCGAGCGUUAAUCGGAAUUACUGGGCGUAAAGCGUGCGCAGGCGGUUCGUUGUGUCCGUCGUGAAAGCCCCGGGCUUAACCUGGGAACUGCGAUGGAAACUAGCGAGCUGGAGUGUGGCAGAGGGGGGUGGAAUUCCGCGUGUAGCAGUGAAAUGCGUAGAGAUGCGGAGGAACACCGAUGGCGAAGGCAGCCCCCUGGGCUAACACUGACGCUCAGGCACGAAAGCGUGGGGAGCAAACAGG